Molecule: long non-coding RNA, 245 nt
Organism: Nematolebias whitei (Rio pearlfish)
Lineage: Eukaryota; Metazoa; Chordata; Actinopteri; Cyprinodontiformes; Rivulidae
Exons: 3
Source: RefSeq, a predicted model, not a curated record
GUGGGACAUCCAGACGGCCUGUCGGCUGAACAGAGCUGAGGGCCACUACGACCCCGGCUCUGACCCCUGUUGACAAGACUCCAGCAUGUGCAGAUGGAGCCAGAGAGGAGGGAGAGAACAAGGUCCUACGUUUCCACAGUGGUCCGUGAAGGUGGUCCAGAGAAGCUAGGAACAAGAUGAUGCCAGGGCGAUGUCACAAGGGACGAGGAGGUCUUGGAAGACUCGAGGAAGCAGAACUUUGAAGU